GCGCCGCUAGCUCAGUUGGUUAGAGCAGCUGACUCUUAAUCAGCGGUCCGGGGUUCGAGUCCCUGGCGGCGCA
This 73-nucleotide transfer RNA is filed under the name Streptomyces sp. T1317-0309. RNAcentral describes it as "tRNA-Lys". It matches the Rfam family "tRNA". From Rfam's summary of the family: Transfer RNA (tRNA) molecules are approximately 80 nucleotides in length. Lineage: Bacteria; Bacillati; Actinomycetota; Actinomycetes; Kitasatosporales; Streptomycetaceae. The record is from RNAcentral.